CCUCCCUUCACAGGCCGGAGGAAACAUGUUCCCCCGUGCUCAGGAAACCCCUCCGUCUGAGCCAGGCCCUCAACACCUCAUUCUCCCCAUUCAACCCACAGGAAAACGGAGGCAUGGGGGCUUUGGACUGAACUGGUCCCAUCUGCAAAGGUGGACUGAAGAGAGGACAAGGGACCCCCUGGCUGUCUGGGCAGGGCCUCGAGAGGGUGGUCCACCCUGCCUGAAGACCUGGCUGAAGGGUCACCUGCUUACCAGGCUGUCCAAGAUUCUCCAAGCUUCCUGCCGGCCCCUCUGCUCUCCAUUCCUGCUCUCUCACUAGCCACUGGACCUUCUGUGAUCUCCUGAUCUCCUGAUUUUCUGCUGGAAUCACAGGAUCUGACCCUUUCGCUCUCUCUGCCUCACCCCUGCACUGCACUGACCCAGCCUGGCCCACCUCUGCCCGCUGCUCCACAGACCGAGGUCUCCCAUGGGGAGCUGAGGUCACCCUUUGCUGCCUCACGCUGCCUCUGGGAUCAGAGGCUAUUGGAUGUGAUUUCCAUGGUCAUCUCCUCUCCUCUCCUGCCUCCUCCACCAGCAUCAAGCUUCCUACAGCUCCUGGAAUGGUUUCCUCCACCUGCAAGGAAAGUGAGUGACCUCUACACCACCCUCACCUCUUGCCAAGCUAAUUCUUUUCUUCUCUGAGACAUCUGCAGAUGUCACCUCCUCUGGGAAGUCCUCCCUGAUUACCUCUCUCUCCUCCUACCCUUGUUUAGCAAUACCAUAGCUCUUUCUCAAUGAAGCAAUUAGUCCUUGAGGCAACUGACAACUCCACAUCCCCAGUUCCCUGAGAACAGAGCCUAUGCUUUAUCUACUUUGCUUCUCCAGUUUCAAGCCAGGCCGUGGCAGGUGGGCAGUCAGCCAGUGCCUGCUGAGCUCAGCCCAAUUCUGGUCGCUUCUCCUCUCUCUAUCCUUUUCCCAGGGCAGACCCUCCCCUCCCCAGGAACCUUCAGGGGAGGGUAGAUGAUUGAUGACUGAGAGAGAAGUAGUUGGGGGGAUCCAGCUGUGUAGAGAGGACUAGGGGCUCUCUUUCUUUUCUUUUCUUUCUUUCUUUUUUUUUUUUUUUUUGAGACGGAGUCUCGCUCU
Molecule: long non-coding RNA, 1122 nt
Organism: Chlorocebus sabaeus (green monkey)
Lineage: Eukaryota; Metazoa; Chordata; Mammalia; Primates; Cercopithecidae
Source: RefSeq, a predicted model, not a curated record